This 354-nucleotide unclassified non-coding RNA is filed under the name soil metagenome. RNAcentral describes it as "partial contains 5.8S ribosomal RNA, internal transcribed spacer 2, and large subunit ribosomal RNA". The stretch from base 1 to 120 matches the Rfam family "5.8S ribosomal RNA", at positions 35 to 154 of the family's 154-position model. The record is from RNAcentral.
GAUGAAGAACGCAGCGAAAUGCGAUAAGUAGUGUGAAUUGCAGAAUUCAGUGAAUCAUCGAAUCUUUGAACGCACAUUGCGCCCCUUGGUAUUCCAUGGGGCAUGCCUGUUCGAGCGUCGUUUCAACCCUCGAGCCCCCGUGGCCCGGCGUUGGGGAUCUGCCCAGGCAGUCCCCGAAAACCAGUGGCGGACCCGUUACAGGCCCUUCCCUUGCGUAGUAGCAUUCGCCUCGCAUCGGGAGCCGGCGGGCUUCCAGCCUCUAAACCCCCAUCAAGUCCGCCCCGGCGGCACCAAGGUUGACCUCGGAUCAGGUAGGAAUACCCGCUGAACUUAAGCAUAUCAAUAAGCGGAGGA